Molecule: ribosomal RNA, 495 nt
Filed under: Metschnikowia pulcherrima
Lineage: Eukaryota; Fungi; Ascomycota; Pichiomycetes; Serinales; Metschnikowiaceae
Description: partial large subunit ribosomal RNA
Rfam family: Eukaryotic large subunit ribosomal RNA
Source: RNAcentral
GCAUAUCAAUAAGCGGAGGAAAAGAAACCAACAGGGAUUGCCUCAGUAACGGCGAGUGAAGCGGCAAAAGCUCAAAUUUGAAAUCCCCCGGGAAUUGUAAUUUGAAGAGAUUUGGGUCCGGCCGGCGGGGGUUAAGUCCACUGGAAAGUGGCGCCACAGAGGGUGACAGCCCCGUGAACCCCUUCAACGCCUUCAUCCCAGAUCUCCAAGAGUCGAGUUGUUUGGGAAUGCAGCUCUAAGUGGGUGGUAAAUUCCAUCUAAAGCUAAAUACCGGCGAGAGACCGAUAGCGAACAAGUACAGUGAUGGAAAGAUGAAAAGCACUUUGAAAAGAGAGUGAAAAAGUACGUGAAAUUGUUGAAAGGGAAGGGCUUGCAAGCAGACACUUAACUGGGCCAGCAUCGGGGCGGCGGGGAGCAAAACCACCGGGGAAUGUACCUUUCGAGGAUUUAACCCCGGUCCUUACUCCCUCACCAUCCCGAGGCCUGCAAUCUAAG